Molecule: long non-coding RNA, 352 nt
Organism: Plodia interpunctella (Indianmeal moth)
Lineage: Eukaryota; Metazoa; Arthropoda; Insecta; Lepidoptera; Pyralidae
Exons: 2
Source: RefSeq, a predicted model, not a curated record
UUCUGUAUAUUACAGGCUAAAAAAAAUAUACUUAUUACCUUUUAGAUUUAAGGAUACCUACCUACAGUUGGGGGUCUGCAUCCACGCAUGUUAUGAUGAUUAUUAUUAUUAUUAUGUCAUUCAUAUUGCAGAUAUUAUAAGUAGGAACUGAACUACUCCGCGCCCUAACUCAAAAUUUGGUAAAGAAGGAAGGAAAAAAAGAAGGUAAAGGUACCUUGCUUGUUUGCAAUGAAGAAAUUAUGAGAUGUUCAUGUUGAAGAAUAUUAUGAGAUGUUUCUCAUAAUAUAUACUUUUAAUCCCGGAAAAACUGUGAAUCCCGUAGGAAAGUCAAAUAAACUACUGGACCGAUUUA